This 418-nucleotide ribosomal RNA is filed under the name uncultured bacterium. Its description in RNAcentral is "bacterial SSU rRNA". It matches the Rfam family "Bacterial small subunit ribosomal RNA", at positions 30 to 446 of the family's 1533-position model. The record is from RNAcentral.
AUUGAACGCUGGCGGCAUGCCUUACACAUGCAAGUCGAACGGCAGCACGGGAGCUUGCUCCUGGUGGCGAGUGGCGAACGGGUGAGUAAUACAUCGGAACGUACCCUGAAGUGGGGGAUAACGUAGCGAAAGUUACGCUAAUACCGCAUAUUCUGUGAGCAGGAAAGAGGGGGAUCGCAAGACCUCUUGCUUUAGGAGCGGCCGAUGUCGGAUUAGCUAGUUGGUGAGGUAAAGGCUCACCAAGGCGACGAUCCGUAGCGGGUCUGAGAGGAUGAUCCGCCACACUGGGACUGAGACACGGCCCAGACUCCUACGGGAGGCAGCAGUGGGGAAUUUUGGACAAUGGGCGCAAGCCUGAUCCAGCCAUGCCGCGUGAGUGAAGAAGGCCUCGGGUUGUAAAGACUCUUCGUGGGAGAAU